GAGCAGGCUUCCUCCACAAAAUUAAACUCGCCCAAAUUGCAAACUUUCAGGGAGGAAAAUGAACCAUAAUCGAAACUGAAACCCUAAAUCUAAACCCUGAGCUCGAAAUCAAGGUCCUUCACGCCGUUGCUAAUUACUCAAACAGCCUACGCAAGCAUGAAGAAGCAGCUCCCAUUCCGUUUCUGUAGUUCUCGCAAUGGACGGACAACGUGAAGGUAAAUCUCAAGCUUAUGGGUUUUAAAAAUUUGACACUUAUGGGUUUUAAAAUUUUGGGCUUUGUAGUUGCUAUUCAUCUGAUACUUUUGGUUUUUGCAGCUGCUAAUUUAGGUUUUGCAGUUGCUAUUCCCGUAUCUGAAGAUUUUGAAGUUGCUAUUCAUGACAUUUUGGGUUUUACAAAUCUAAAAAAUAUUUAUUUACAUGGUUUCUUUUGGAAAUUGUCAUUGUACUCUUCCUCCCAACACUUGGAUUAAUUAGCAGAAUCCUGUGUCUCAUUUGAAUGACCUUUGUAACAUGAUUUAAUUUUUCAAUGGAUUUAGUUUGAUUCUGCUUGAGUUCUCGACUUGGAUACGAGGUUGAUCGGUUGAGUAGGGUUGAAUCAUUUGAUAGCUAAUUAAUCCCAACAUCUAUACUAUAGUAGCAAAUAUAUAUAUUUUAAAGUUUUGCCACAGUUUGUUGUUCUCCACUUGACGGUUUGCAUCUACUCUUGUUAAUGUGGGUUAAUUAUAUGACAGAUUGUGGAGUGAAUAGCCCAAAUGGUCACUAAACUUUGCACCAGGUCCGCAAAAGGUCACUGAACUUUCAAAAUUGUCUAACUCAUCACAGAACUUUGCGAAAAGUCCAUCAAAGGUCACUGAACUUUCAAAAUCGCCUCACUUAUCACUAAACUUUGCAUUUUGUAAUCUCAUUAGUCAUUCAGCUAACGGUCCAUCCAAAAACUAACCGAAUACUCACGUGGCCGGCUGAUGUGGAUGCCAAGUCAAACAAAAGAAGUACACGUGAAUUUUUAUUUAAAUUAAAACAUGUUUUAUUAAAAUAAUAAUAAUAAUAAUAAUAAUAAUAAAUAAAACAUGUUUACGGUGGUGACUGUUGCUACAACAGUUUAUGGAAUUUUCAAUUUUUUUAUUUUUAUAAAACAUGUUUUAAUUCAAAUAAAAAUCCACCUGUACUUCUUUUGUUUGACCUGGCAUCCACAUCAGCCAGCCACGUGAGUAUUCGGUUAGUUUUUGGAUGGACCGUUAGUUGAGUGACUAAUGAGAUUACAAAAUGCAAAGUUCAGUGAUGAGUGAG
This 1287-nucleotide long non-coding RNA is filed under the name Olea europaea subsp. europaea. Lineage: Eukaryota; Viridiplantae; Streptophyta; Magnoliopsida; Lamiales; Oleaceae. The record is from RNAcentral.